CCCCAAACCGUUGUGACUGCCUGGGAUUGGUAACAUCUCGAGUGAUACGUGUUGGAUCAUCCCAACAGAGCUGGAUCAGCAAAGCUUGGCUUCAGGAGACAAAAAUAGGAUUUGUGGGUUACCAGAAGCUGUUUGAGUUCUAGCUAUUCCUAGGAAGAGGACUUCAGCUGUCUCAAUUCUAUACCUGCAGAGUCCCUCCGUGUCACAGGAAAUUCCUUCCCAGCAUUUGAAAGGGUGAUGAGGUUUUGAGGAACAUUCCAGCAGGAGGAAGCAGACCCAAAACUCUAACUUUGAAGGGCUGCCUGAGAAGGGUAUGAACAAGAUGCUCGUUACAGCAAACAGGAGUCCCUCUGUAUCCCGUCAGCAUUCUUCCCCAUUUCUGCAGAUCCCUGUCUUCACUACAUCCUAGUGCUGACGGCUGCCGCUGCUUCUGAACUCUUAAAUUAGUGGAUUAAGACUGCUGUGGUCUGACAUCCCUGCCUUCGCUGGCGCGGACACCGGGAGGGUUUACACAGCACUGGAGCACCAGGAGUGAGGAGAUGUGCCAUGUGGACCUGCUGUGAUGCCUCUGGUGACAGAACCACCUGCCAUGGUUGUGCUUUCCUUCUAACUUCCUGCCAGGCUCAACUUCUCUGGGGAAAGGAUCUGCUUUUGUUGCGCGAUCCUUCUCCGGUCUAAUACAAUAGGACUCAACCUCAGAGAUAACCCGAAAAAAACCAACAACCCAGCAAUUUAAUCCUGUGCUGACAUUGACACAGGCCAUCAGCCAUGUGGAAACUUGUGUAAGAGUUUGCGUGUGGUCCAGUGCUCGAAGGGUUUGAGUUCUCCUUCAUCCAGUUCUCCUCCUCACCGCCUGUUAUUCAAGGAGCUUCCCGCUCGGCGUUUCCCGAGAGGACUGGAAGGACAGGUUCCCCUCUCGCCCUUCCUACUGCCUUCAGACUUGGCACGAUCCCAUCCGGAGCAGCCCUGGAACUGGAACUGCAGGUCCAGCUCCGACUCCCAGAGCCCGGGGCUGUGAGGUGCCGGGUGAGGAGGGAAGGGCUGGGGAACCGCUCUGCCAAGCGCUAGGAAGCCCCCACCCAGCACAAACGGGAUUUUCAGCCGGGAUUUUCAUGGUUGGGUUUGGAGGACACACCUCUGACAAGGUGACCAUUCCGCUUUUCAGCCUCUAAGAUCCCCGAGAGAAGGAACAAAAGAAGAAAUAUUUAUAAUUUAACCCGAGGUAUGAACUUAAGAUGCUUAAAUUUCAGCGCGGUGGUUAGCCUAGCACUAUUAAAAGUGACUGGAGGUAGGAUUUUACGAUGGGAAUUGCUAACCAGCUUUAAUAGGAGUUAUACUACCAGUCCUGCCUUUUAAUCAGUGCUUCCAUUUUCCGUAUAAAUUACAGCUCGUAGCUGGUAGUCCUUCUGGCAUAUCAGAUAUCGGCGUAACUCAGCAAGCGUAAUAAGGAGAAACCCAAACACCCUUCUGGGGAGGUAAUUAUUCAUCAUUGUGAAAAGGCUCCAGGAUAUUUUUAGUGGAGGACAAACCCCUCGUUUCCCGGCAGAAACACCGAAGAAAAUGAUGGAAUAAUGAAGCAAGUUUCACCACGAGAAAACACUUCAGACACUGGUGUUGGCUGGCACUUGGUAGUCACGUCGACGUUUAAUUAGUCGCGCGCAUCUCUGCGUCCCUGCGCACAGCGAAACGCACGCUGCGUCUCGGGGACGCUGCGAAGAGUCUGCCUCCCCAAAGAGCCUCCAAAGAAACAAAUCUGUAAAUCCCGCUGGAUCAGGGAUAAUUUCAGGGGAAUCCAGAGGGGCCUGCAGCGAGAGGGACACCCUCGCCACACGCACAGAGGUUAUCACCGGCAACUCUCCGGAAAUAGCAGCACUACCGGCGUGAAAACCCAUUUCUUUCUGGAACAAACGAUUUUAAACUAGUUUUAAAGCAUUUUGCGAUACAAACACACAUUUUAGGGGGAUGUACCAGCGUUUCCCAUCGUGCAGUGCCGCAGGUUAUCUCCCAGUUACCACUUCUUGAGCCCUGGCGCUCCAUGAUUUACGCACUGAAAGAGACGAUUCAAUUAGUCAAUCAUAAAAUGAGCAGGGAUAGCGUGCGUGUUGUAAAAACACAAUUUAGUGGGCAACAAGCUGAGAUGGAAGAAACAAAAAAUAUAUGGGUAGACUUCAUAUGAUUAAUGAAGGGGGAAUGUAUAUUUAUAGCUCUUAUUGUGUCCUUUGUAAGGAUACGGGAUCCAGACCGGCUGGUAACGAGGCAGCAUUCAAAUGAUUUGGAUUUGAAUGGCAAAUGCUGUAUAAAACUAAU
This is a long non-coding RNA of Calidris pugnax (ruff), 2307 nucleotides long. RefSeq lists it as uncharacterized. The record is from RefSeq and is a predicted model, not a curated record. The transcript is spliced from 6 exons. NCBI's taxonomy places the organism in Eukaryota, Metazoa, Chordata, Aves, Charadriiformes, Scolopacidae.